CUUUGCAAUCAAGAAAUAUUAUGGAAGGUCCAGGUGACCGAGGAAGGGCCAGAGAUGAAGGAGGAGAGCCCAAGUAUCGGGGCGUCAGGAAGCGUCCGUGGGGGAAAUAUGCGGCAGAAAUCCGGGAUUCUGCGAAUCAUGGAGCCCGGGUUUGGCUUGGAACAUUCAACACCGCGGUGGAGGCGGCUAAAGCGUACGACAGAGCUGCUUAUGCAAUGAGGGGACAUUUGGCUAUUCUCAACUUUCCUGAGGAUUAUAAUUUGCCCAGCAGCUCAUCCCAUUUUGCUUCUGCCUCCUCAUCGUCUACUGCUGCUUCUACUUCUUCAUCAGCAAGGGAGGGAGUUAUUGAAAUCCCGUAUUAUGAUGAUAAGCUGUUGGAGGAGCUGCUUGGUGCUGAGGAAAAAAGCGGAAGACAAGAUUGAAUCAUUUAACUGAAGGAAGGAAAUCAAGUGGCCAAAGCUUCAGGUGCAGGAUAUACUAUUUCGGUGCAAAUUAACUCCAGGCGAUGAAGUGGAUAAAGCUUCUAGGCAGUGCUAUUUUGGUGCUUUGGUGGUUUUAGUGGUUGACUUGUGUUGACUUCCAGCUAUAUUUGUUUUACUCUUUGAUGUGGAGAUAUCAGGGAAAAAAAAUCCAUGCUUCUAUGAAGAUAGACGGUAAUUGCUAGUGGAGAUUCAAACCUGAAUGACACUUUGCAAUAUGCACUGCCCAGGAAGGCCAUAGUAAUUUCAUGUGUAUCUUUUUCCACUUUAUUAGAUGUCUCUAUUGGAAUUUUAUGUAUGAGCAUUACUUUUAUGUGCUUUUAUGCAUUGUAAUA
Coffea arabica (coffee) is the source of this 814-nucleotide non-coding RNA. NCBI's taxonomy places the organism in Eukaryota, Viridiplantae, Streptophyta, Magnoliopsida, Gentianales, Rubiaceae. The record is from RefSeq and is a predicted model, not a curated record.